Molecule: long non-coding RNA, 695 nt
Organism: Harpia harpyja (harpy eagle)
Lineage: Eukaryota; Metazoa; Chordata; Aves; Accipitriformes; Accipitridae
Exons: 2
Source: RefSeq, a predicted model, not a curated record
AAGCUUAAAAACGCCCUUGGCCCCCCGCCCCGGGGGUUGCCUGGCCCGGCUGCUGCGUGUGGGAGAGCCCAGGCCGGUGGCUUGGCCCAGACCGCCCCCCCCCGCUACGGUUACAUGCGUGGAGCUCGGCUCUGAGGCACAGGUACUCAGUGCUAUAGAAGAAUUCUGUACCCUUAUUUUUCUACACCGUAGCAGUUUGUGUCAAACCCAACCUAAACAUUUGUGUAGAGAACAAUUCUGCCCUCGUGCACUUACUGUCUUAUGUGUCAACGUCAAUACUUACCUGUUGCCACGUACCCAUCCAUCUAACUGUAGUGAAAUCAUUUUAUCUAACUGUAGCUAGAUAUUUACAACUCAGAUGUAAAUAUUUUAGGUGCCUAAAGUAUGUUCGUUAGUACUCUCUUGCUAAGUGCUACAGUGCUGACCUUUAAAUAUCGAAAACUAAGCAUCUGAGUUAAUACCCAACCAUUGUCACUUCUCAGAAAUACAGCUGAUGGUUCUUUGCAGGCCCAGACAUCUCUUCAUCAGUUUAUAUUCCAGCACUCCAGAAAAAGAAUUGCUGUUUCCCAGGAGAAAAUGAAAACCUUUAUAAGUUUGGUGCUGGUAAAGACCCUGAAGACCCCCUGCAUGUAGGAGACAAAUGUGCGUGUUGUAAUUGUUAUUACAGAAAAUAAAAAUCAGUAAGCACAAACUUA